RNAcentral lists this ribosomal RNA (497 nucleotides) under uncultured bacterium. RNAcentral describes it as "partial 16S ribosomal RNA". It matches the Rfam family "Bacterial small subunit ribosomal RNA", at positions 28 to 507 of the family's 1533-position model. The record is from RNAcentral.
GAUGAACGCUGGCGGCGUGCCUAAUACAUGCAAGUCGAGCGAACAGACGAGGAGCUUGCUCCUCUGACGUUAUCGGCGGACGGGUGAGUAACACGUGGAUAACCUACCUAUAAGACUGGGAUAACUUCGGGAAACCGGAGCUAAUACCGGAUAAUAUAUUGAACCGCAUGGUUCCCUAGUUAAAGAAGGUUUUGCUGUCACUUAAAGAUGGAUCCGCGCCCCAUUCGCUAGUUGGUAAGGUGACUGCUUAGCAAGGCAACGAUGCGUACCCGACCUGAGAGGGUGAUCCGACACACUGUCACUGAGACACGUCCCAGACUCCUACGGGAGGCAGCAGUAGGGAAUCUUCCGCGAUGGGCGAAAGCUUGACGGAGCAACGCCGCGUGAGUGAUGAUGGUCUUCUGCUCGGAAAACUCUGUUAGUCGGGAAGUUCAAAAGUGUAAGUACCUAUGCACGUCUUGACGGUACCUAAUCAGAAAGCUACGGCUAACUCCGUG